This 449-nucleotide ribosomal RNA is filed under the name Pseudomonas sp. AO2_08. Its description in RNAcentral is "partial 16S ribosomal RNA". The record is from RNAcentral. Lineage: Bacteria; Pseudomonadati; Pseudomonadota; Gammaproteobacteria; Pseudomonadales; Pseudomonadaceae.
UCCUGUUUGCUCCCCACGCUUUCGCACCUCAGUGUCAGUAUCAGUCCAGGUGGUCGCCUUCGCCACUGGUGUUCCUUCCUAUAUCUACGCAUUUCACCGCUACACAGGAAAUUCCACCACCCUCUACCGUACUCUAGCUCAGCAGUUUUGAAAGCAGUUCCCAGGUUGAGCCCGGGGAUUUCACUUCCAACUUACUGAACCACCUACGCGCGCUUUACGCCCAGUAAUUCCGAUUAACGCUUGCACCCUUCGUAUUACCGCGGCUGCUGGCACGAAGUUAGCCGGUGCUUAUUCUGUCGGUAACGUCAAAGUAGCAACGUAUUAGGCUACUACCCUUCCUCCCAACUUAAAGUGCUUUACAAUCCGAAGACCUUCUUCACACACGCGGCAUGGCUGGAUCAGGCUUUCGCCCAUUGUCCAAUAUUCCCCACUGCUGCCUCCCGUAGGAG